RNAcentral lists this ribosomal RNA (233 nucleotides) under uncultured bacterium. RNAcentral's name for it is "partial 16S ribosomal RNA". It matches the Rfam family "Bacterial small subunit ribosomal RNA", at positions 118 to 351 of the family's 1533-position model. The record is from RNAcentral.
UGAGCAAUCUGCCCUUCUCUUCGGAAUAAGCGUGGGAAACCGCGUCUAAUGCCGAAUACGACCUCCUUUCGCAUGAUCGGAGGUGGAAAGCUCCGGCGGAGAAGGAUGAGCUCGCGGCCUAUCAGCUAGUUGGUGUGGGUAAUGGCCCACCAAGGCGACGACGGGUAGCCGGCCUGAGAGGGCGACCGGCCACACUGGGACUGAGACACGGCCCAGACUCCUACGGGAGGCAG